This 482-nucleotide ribosomal RNA is filed under the name uncultured bacterium. RNAcentral describes it as "partial 16S ribosomal RNA". It matches the Rfam family "Bacterial small subunit ribosomal RNA", at positions 28 to 506 of the family's 1533-position model. The record is from RNAcentral.
GACGAACGCUGGCGGCGUGCUUAACACAUGCAAGUCGAACGCUGAAGCUCAGCUUUUGUUGGGUGGAUGAGUGGCGAACGGGUGAGUAACACGUGAGUAACCUGCCCCCUUCUUUGGGAUAACGCCCGGAAACGGGUGCUAAUACUGGAUAUUCACUGGUCUUCGCAUGGGGGUUGGUGGAAAGGGUUUUUCUGGUGGGGGAUGGGCUCGCGGCCUAUCAGCUUGUUGGUGGGGUGAUGGCCUACCAAGGCUUUGACGGGUAGCCGGCCUGAGAGGGUGACCGGUCACAUUGGGACUGAGAUACGGCCCAGACUCCUACGGGAGGCAGCAGUGGGGAAUAUUGCACAAUGGGCGCAAGCCUGAUGCAGCGACGCCGCGUGAGGGAUGGAGGCCUUCGGGUUGUGAACCUCUUUCGCUCAUGGUCAAGCCGCAACAAUGGUUGUGGUGAGGGUAGUGGGUAAAGAAGCGCAGGCUAACUACGU